CCUACGGGUGGGCAGCAGUGGGGAAUAUUGGACAAUGGGCGAAAGCCUGAUCCAGCCAUGCCGCGUGUGUGAAGAAGGCCUUCGGGUUGUAAAGCACUUUCAGUGGGGAAGAAAGCCUUGGGGCUAAUACCCUCGAGGAAGGACAUCACCCACAGAAGAAGCACCGGCUAACUCCGUGCCAGCAGCCGCGGUAAUACGGAGGGUGCGAGCGUUAAUCGGAAUUACUGGGCGUAAAGCGCGCGUAGGCGGUCUGAUAAGCCGGUUGUGAAAGCCCCGGGCUCAACCUGGGAACGGCAUCCGGAACUGUCAGGCUAGAGUGCAGGAGAGGAAGGUAGAAUUCCCGGUGUAGCAGUGAAAUGCGUAGAGAUCGGGAGGAAUACCAGUGGCGAAGGCGGCCUUCUGGACUGACACUGACGCUGAGGUGCGAAAGCGUGGGUAGCAAACAGGAUUAGAUACCCCAGUAGUC
RNAcentral lists this ribosomal RNA (466 nucleotides) under Vreelandella stevensii. RNAcentral describes it as "partial 16S ribosomal RNA". It matches the Rfam family "Bacterial small subunit ribosomal RNA", at positions 338 to 795 of the family's 1533-position model. Lineage: Bacteria; Pseudomonadati; Pseudomonadota; Gammaproteobacteria; Oceanospirillales; Halomonadaceae. The record is from RNAcentral.